AUUGAACGCUGGCGGCAGGCCUAACACAUGCAAGUCGAACGGUAACAGGAAGAAGCUUGCUUCUUUGCUGACGAGUGGCGGACGGGUGAGUAAUGUCUGGGAAACUGCCUGAUGGAGGGGGAUAACUACUGGAAACGGUAGCUAAUACCGCAUAACGUCGCAAGACCAAAGAGGGGGACCUUCGGGCCUCUUGCCAUCGGAUGUGCCCAGAUGGGAUUAGCUAGUAGGUGGGGUAACGGCUCACCUAGGCGACGAUCCCUAGCUGGUCUGAGAGGAUGAGCAGACGCAAUGGUACUGAGACACGGUACAGAGGCGUAAGGGAGGCAGCAGUGGGGAAUAUGGGACAAGGGGGGAAGGCGGGAUACAGAAAUAAAGGGGGGGUGAAGAAGGACUUUGGGUUGUAAAGCACUUUUGUGGGGAAAGAAAAGCAGCAGGUUAAUACCCGGGUGCGCUGACGGGACAGAAAGAAGAAGAACAGGCUAACUUCGUG
Molecule: ribosomal RNA, 490 nt
Filed under: uncultured bacterium
Lineage: Bacteria
Description: partial 16S ribosomal RNA
Rfam family: Bacterial small subunit ribosomal RNA
Source: RNAcentral